AUGGCUGCAGUGUUGGGAGGAGGGGGACGGGGUAAGGAAAUUACACCAUGAGGGCUAUAUCGUUAAACAAGUGCUUUUGGAAUAUUAACUAAAAAACCAAUUCCAAAAAAAAAAAAAAAAAUCUCAACUUAGUCCUUAAACAAAUUCCUCAAACUUGACCUAUUUCACCUGUGUAAAGUUCACAAAGAUGGAGGAGAUUAAUAAAAUAAGAUAUAGUUAAGUUCUUACUAUUUUUUAUGCUCUUUUCUUUUGGUACCAACAACUUUCAUCUGUUCUUUUGUUUCAAACCGAAGAUCAUUUGCCUUUUUACUUGUCGUACGCUUCUUCUUUUCAUGAAUGCUGCUUUGUAGAACACCAUCAUCAUGUUCGUGCUCAAUGGAAUUCUUGUUCAUUUCUUUCUCAUCUCACCCCAAUAGUCUUAUGACCACUUCCAUCCCUAGAACGAGGUUUCUACAAAAGAAUGAUACAUCAACAUAAAACAGACAAUGUGAGAAGCACAAAGAAACAUAACUUUAAAGAGUCAGCUCUGCAGUUUACAAAGAAAGUUCACACAGGCC
This 557-nucleotide long non-coding RNA is filed under the name Olea europaea (common olive). RNAcentral's name for it is "long non-coding RNA (OEUR_LNC011287)". The record is from RNAcentral. Lineage: Eukaryota; Viridiplantae; Streptophyta; Magnoliopsida; Lamiales; Oleaceae.